GGGUUCAUAGCUCACUUGGAUAGAGCAACUGCCUUCUAAGCAGUAGGUAGGGGGUUCGAUUCCCUCUGGACCCG
RNAcentral lists this transfer RNA (74 nucleotides) under Treponema sp. RNAcentral's name for it is "tRNA-Arg". It matches the Rfam family "tRNA". From Rfam's summary of the family: Transfer RNA (tRNA) molecules are approximately 80 nucleotides in length. Their secondary structure includes four short double-helical elements and three loops (D, anti-codon, and T loops). RNAcentral also lists the same sequence under 1 other name. Lineage: Bacteria; Pseudomonadati; Spirochaetota; Spirochaetia; Treponematales; Treponemataceae. The record is from RNAcentral.